AACGAACGCUGGCGGCAUGCCUAACACAUGCAAGUAGAACGCGGCAGGCGGAGCUUGCUCUUCUGGAUUAGUUGCCAACGGGUAACUAACGCGUAGGUAACCUGCCUCGUACCGGAGGAUAACCUAUUGAAACGAAAGCUAAUCCCGCAUAAGAGUAGAUGUUGCAUGAUAUUUGCGCAAUAGGUGCAAUUGCAUCUAUAGCAGAUGGAUCUGCGUUGUAUUAGCUAGAUGUUGGGGUAACGGCUCACCAAGGCGACGAUACAUAGCCGACCUGAGGGGGUGAUCGGCCACACUGGGACUGAGACACGGCCCAGACUCCUACGGGAGGCAGCAGUAGGGAAUCUUCGGCAAUGGACGGAAGUCUGACCGAGCAACGCCGCGUGAGUGAAGAAGGUUUUCGGAUCGUAAAGCUCUGUUGUAAGAGAAGAACGAGUGUGAGAGUGGAAAGUUCACACUGUGACGGUAUCUUACCAGAAAGGGACGGCUAACUACGUG
RNAcentral lists this ribosomal RNA (495 nucleotides) under uncultured bacterium. RNAcentral describes it as "partial 16S ribosomal RNA". It matches the Rfam family "Bacterial small subunit ribosomal RNA", at positions 29 to 507 of the family's 1533-position model. The record is from RNAcentral.